UCCCUGGUAGCUCAGCUGGUAAAGAAUCCACCUGCAAUGUGGGAGAUCCUGGUUCAAUUCCUGGUCAGGAAG
RNAcentral lists this transfer RNA (72 nucleotides) under Bos taurus (domestic cattle). It matches the Rfam family "tRNA". From Rfam's summary of the family: Transfer RNA (tRNA) molecules are approximately 80 nucleotides in length. Their secondary structure includes four short double-helical elements and three loops (D, anti-codon, and T loops). Further hydrogen bonds mediate the characteristic L-shaped molecular structure. tRNAs have two regions of fundamental functional importance: the anti-codon, which is responsible for specific mRNA codon recognition, and the 3' end, to which the tRNAs corresponding amino acid is attached (by aminoacyl-tRNA synthetases). tRNAs cope with the degeneracy of the genetic code in two manners: having more than one tRNA (with a specific anti-codon) for a particular amino acid; and 'wobble' base-pairing, i.e. permitting non-standard base-pairing at the 3rd anti-codon position. The record is from Rfam by way of RNAcentral. Lineage: Eukaryota; Metazoa; Chordata; Mammalia; Artiodactyla; Bovidae. RNAcentral also lists the same sequence under 1 other name.